GACGAACGCUGGCGGCGUGCUUAACACAUGCAAGUCGAACGGAAAGGCCCUGCUUUUGUGGGGUGCUCGAGUGGCGAACGGGUGAGUAACACGUGAGUAACCUGCCCUUGACUUUGGGAUAACUUCAGGAAACUGGGGCUAAUACCGGAUAGGAGCUCCUGCUGCACGGUGGGGGAUGGAAAGUUUCGGCGGUUGGGGAUGGACUCGCGGCUUAUCAGCUUGUUGGUGGGGUAGUGGCUUACCAAGGCUUUGACGGGUAGCCGGCCUGAGAGGGUGAACGGCCACAAUGGGACUGAGAGACGGCCCAGACUCCUACGGGAGGCAGCAGUGGGGAAUAUUGCACAAUGGGCGGAAGCCUGAUGCAGCAACGCCGCGUGCGGGAUGACGGCCUUCGGGUUGUAAACCGCUUUCGCCUGUGACGAAGCGUGAGUGACGGUAAUGGGUAAAGAAGCACCGGCUAACUACGUG
Molecule: ribosomal RNA, 468 nt
Filed under: uncultured bacterium
Lineage: Bacteria
Description: partial 16S ribosomal RNA
Rfam family: Bacterial small subunit ribosomal RNA
Source: RNAcentral